RNAcentral lists this ribosomal RNA (655 nucleotides) under Acinetobacter sp. Its description in RNAcentral is "bacterial SSU rRNA". It matches the Rfam family "Bacterial small subunit ribosomal RNA", at positions 74 to 724 of the family's 1533-position model. Lineage: Bacteria; Pseudomonadati; Pseudomonadota; Gammaproteobacteria; Moraxellales; Moraxellaceae. The record is from RNAcentral.
UGUAGCUUGCUACAUUACCUAGCGGCGGACGGGUGAGUAAUGCUUAGGAAUCUGCCUAUUAGUGGGGGACAACAUUCCGAAAGGAAUGCUAAUACCGCAUACGUCCUACGGGAGAAAGCAGGGGACCUUCGGGCCUUGCGCUAAUAGAUGAGCCUAAGUCGGAUUAGCUAGUUGGUGGGGUAAAGGCCUACCAAGGCGACGAUCUGUAGCGGGUCUGAGAGGAUGAUCCGCCACACUGGGACUGAGACACGGCCCAGACUCCUACGGGAGGCAGCAGUGGGGAAUAUUGGACAAUGGGGGGAACCCUGAUCCAGCCAUGCCGCGUGUGUGAAGAAGGCCUUUUGGUUGUAAAGCACUUUAAGCGAGGAGGAGGCUACUAGUAUUAAUACUACUGGAUAGUGGACGUUACUCGCAGAAUAAGCACCGGCUAACUCUGUGCCAGCAGCCGCGGUAAUACAGAGGGUGCGAGCGUUAAUCGGAUUUACUGGGCGUAAAGCGUGCGUAGGCGGCUGAUUAAGUCGGAUGUGAAAUCCCUGAGCUUAACUUAGGAAUUGCAUUCGAUACUGGUCAGCUAGAGUAUGGGAGAGGAUGGUAGAAUUCCAGGUGUAGCGGUGAAAUGCGUAGAGAUCUGGAGGAAUACCGAUGGCGAAGGCAG